Molecule: transfer RNA, 83 nt
Filed under: Gammaproteobacteria bacterium
Lineage: Bacteria; Pseudomonadati; Pseudomonadota; Gammaproteobacteria
Also listed under: 1 other name
Description: tRNA-Ser
Rfam family: tRNA
About the family: Transfer RNA (tRNA) molecules are approximately 80 nucleotides in length. Their secondary structure includes four short double-helical elements and three loops (D, anti-codon, and T loops).
Source: RNAcentral
GGAGGGUACGCGAAUGGUUAGCAACCGGUCUUGAAAACCGGGGUCCGAAAGGAUUGGGGGUUCGAAUCCCCUGCCCUCCGCCA